UACACGCUGUGACUAGCAUAUCAAUAAGCGGAGGAAAAGGAACUAACAAGGAUUCCCCUAGUAACGGCGAGUGAAGCGGGAAGAGCUCAAAUUUGAAAUCCUAAAGGGUUUCCCUUUACGAAUUGUAGUUUAAAGAAGUGUUUUCUGUUGAGGUUUUGGUAAAAGUUCUUUGGAAUAGGACAUCAUAGAGGGUGAGAAUCCCGUAUUUGACCUUUACUUUCAACUUUGUGAUACACUUUCAAAGAGUCGGAUUGUUUGGGAAUGCAGUCCAAAAUGGGUGGUAAAUUUCAUCUAAAGCUAAAUAUUGGCGAGAGACCGAUAGCGAACAAGUACCGUGAGGGAAAGAUGAAAAGAACUUUGAAAAGAGAGUUAAACAGUACGUGAAAUUGUCAAAAGGGAAGCGUUUGACACCAGUGUUGUUUUUCUGAAAAUCAAUUAAAGAACUGUUUAUGCUAAGUUGUUUAGACUUUAUCAGCUAACUGUUUAGUUUUGAGCUUUUCUUUAAUGCACUUUUCAGUUAACAAGUCAACAUCAAUUUCUUUUGCUGUAAAAAAGCUUGAGGAAGGUGGCUUGAGAUUCGUCUUAAGUGUUUAUAGCCUCUUGCCUAUGCAGUCGGAGAGAUUGAGGUCUGCAGCGUAGAUCCUUCGGGGCUAAAUGCAUUUGUGCUAAGUUAUAGCAUUUUAUAGACAACUUGUUGACUAUGAUUUGUCUUGUAGCUUACUCGCUUAUGUUAUUUUACCUACGCUUAGGAUGUUGACGCGCGUGUGUGCGUG
This 773-nucleotide ribosomal RNA is filed under the name uncultured Neocallimastigales. RNAcentral's name for it is "partial large subunit ribosomal RNA". It matches the Rfam family "Eukaryotic large subunit ribosomal RNA", at positions 22 to 639 of the family's 3401-position model. The record is from RNAcentral. Lineage: Eukaryota; Fungi; Neocallimastigomycota; Neocallimastigomycetes; Neocallimastigales.